CAAUUAUUUUUCCCAGGGGGCCAAAUGGGAAACUUAAAAUCAUUUGGAGGGCCGGCCAAAAUGCCAAAAUCUUUUUGUAACGUAUAAUUAUGCAAUAUACACUUUAUUUCUAUAUUAAAAGCAGUAAAUGGCAUUGUUUUGACCGCUGGUAAGAGUGUAUGUUAUUAUUUGGAAAAUAAAAGGUGAGGUUAGCUUUCAAAAAUAUAAUUUAGUCAAAUAUAAUUUUCAAAAUGAUGAACAAAAUAUGAAACAUUUGACUAAUUUUCAGUCACGUUAAUAACAAAGGGCAUUUUGAGUGUCAUAUACUAUUGAAACAAGGAUGUUUCUUGUUUCAAUAGUCAUCACAUCAUCUUUGUAGCCAAAAUAAACAAGACAUGUCACCUCUACUGUGUAACACACACGAUCGCCAGCUUCCCCAGGCAGGAAAAACCGGUCACAUGACGCUCAAGCUUUCUGAUUGGCUCAAAAAACACCUGCCAGACUCCUGAGGCGGUUUCAUCUGUCACACCUGAAGCAGGAGGUGAAGCGGCUCGGGGACUUUCCUCACUGCAGAAACAGCAGAUUAAAUCCAUAAUUCCCGUGAGAAGCGGCAGAGGUUGGUGUGAAGGUGUGGACUCUGCUAUGAAUCAGGCUGAGGACCCAGAGGACGGAGUCCCUCCCUCUGAAGCCCCUCUGUGUGGGGAACAUGACAGCCAGACCAAAGCUCAGAGGUGAGAGGACCAUCUCCAACUGUCUUCCACUCGUCUCCAUGUCCCAACGUCUCUGACUCACUGACUCUGCUUCUACAUGUGUGACCAG
Gasterosteus aculeatus aculeatus (three-spined stickleback) is the source of this 798-nucleotide long non-coding RNA. NCBI's taxonomy places the organism in Eukaryota, Metazoa, Chordata, Actinopteri, Perciformes, Gasterosteidae. The record is from Ensembl.